RNAcentral lists this long non-coding RNA (1226 nucleotides) under Bos grunniens (domestic yak). RNAcentral describes it as "lncRNA (ENSBGRG00000014856.1)". Lineage: Eukaryota; Metazoa; Chordata; Mammalia; Artiodactyla; Bovidae. The record is from RNAcentral.
AUGAGCCUCUUGCCGACCCGUCUGACCCAAGGCUCUUGCCAGCUGUCUGCACUCACUGUGCACACGGAGAGGAGGGCGUGCGAGGCUGAGCUGAGUCCCUCCUCCGAGUUAACUUUCUGCCUCUUCUCUUAUGGGAAAGGAUGCUCCUCUGGGCGCUUCACUAGGUCACAGGAACAAUCAAAUGAGAUUCGGAGCGGAAGCGUUUGGACAGAGAGAAGACACCACACGAGGAGAAAAGCGGGCAUCGGGCUGGAGCAGAGGGCAGCAUCCCCCGUGGCGGGGUGGUGGGCAGGCCUGGCUCUGUGGCCGGCUGUGCUCCCGCCGCCCCCAACCCCGCGCCUCACCUCUGCAGCCCUACCGGUGUCUUCAGACAGCCCUCCAUCACGAGGCCCCGAGUCACAUGCGUCCCAGGGCCAUGAGGCGGCAGGUGCCUGCCGCAGGGCCGGCACUUGUGCAGGGGGGGUCUUUACAGGUGCUGGGAGACGCCGGCCCGCUCUGGCUCAGUCCUCCUCGCGCCCGAGCUGCUGCUGGACGUCCAUGGCGCCCUGCUGGCCCCGGGCAGAGCCGGAUCUCCACUCCCCAGGGGCUGUGUGCGCGCUGAAACCGGCCCGUCCCCCGGGGGUCACUGGGGCCAGGGAGGUCGGAGUGCCUCCUCGCCCGCAUCCCCGGCCGGCCAAGCUCCCGGCAGCUCUGUCAAGACUCCAUAAGGACACAGCCCACAACACACACGCAAUCCAGAAACCAAAGGUACACUGUUAAAGUUUAAACUGGUACUACUACUAUUUUCCAGCUUUGUCUUCCAAGAAUUAAAAAAAAGUUUCGUAAUUAAAUUACUUAAGAUUCUAUGCUGCUCAGUUUCACAAUCAGAGAAUUCUACUUUGUUUAGAGGUGGAAGCUGGGCCGUCUGGGAGUUUCUCCUGCUCCGGUGAGCAGUUCAGCAAAUGGGAAUCUGGUUUCCCCUCCAGGCUCCAUCCGUCCGGCUUCGAGGCUUUGCGCACACCGCCCGGCCGUCUGGAGAGGCGAUUCUUAACACCCGGGCCUGCGGGGGCCGGAGGGCUGGGCGGCCGCGCAGGGCUCAGAGGUCUCCACCGUCGGUGGGUCCCAGGACACUCAGGCCACAAGUCCAGUCGGUCACGAGGUCCGUGGGGGCCAAGGGUCCUUUGGCGGCGGGGCUCUUGAAGGGGUCGGGGGGCACGGCGGGCAGCGGCGGCAGGGGCUGUCCCCGG